AACGAACGCUGGCGGCAGGCCUAACACAUGCAAGUCGAGCGAGGACUUCGGUUCUAGCGGCGGACGGGUGAGUAACGCGUGGGAAUGUGCCCUUCUCUACGGAAUAGCCCUGGGAAACUGGGAGUAAUACCGUAUACGCCCUAUUGGGGAAAGAUUUAUCGGAGAAGGAUCAGCCCGCGUUGGAUUAGGUAGUUGGUGGGGUAAUGGCCUACCAAGCCGACGAUCCAUAGCUGGUUUGAGAGGAUGAUCAGCCACACUGGGACUGAGACACGGCCCAGACCCCUCCGGGGAGGAGCAGGGGGGGAUCUUAAGAAAGGGGGGCCACCCUGAAGCGCCCCUGCCGCUGGGAGGAAGGAGGCCUUGGGGGGAGAAAAGCCCUUCCGGCUGGAAAGAUAAGGAGGUUCCAAAAAAAAAAACCCCCGCCAACCCCGGCC
This 434-nucleotide ribosomal RNA is filed under the name uncultured bacterium. Its description in RNAcentral is "partial 16S ribosomal RNA". It matches the Rfam family "Bacterial small subunit ribosomal RNA", at positions 29 to 509 of the family's 1533-position model. The record is from RNAcentral.